This 1241-nucleotide long non-coding RNA is filed under the name Sus scrofa (pig). Its description in RNAcentral is "lncRNA (ENSSSCG00070023818.1)". Lineage: Eukaryota; Metazoa; Chordata; Mammalia; Artiodactyla; Suidae. The record is from RNAcentral.
UGACUGAUUGUCUGUCCCAGUGAAUGACUGAUUUAAAAAAGGACCUUUAAAAGCGGACAGCAGUAGUUUUGUAUGUGUAAGUGUGGUCGGGAGCAUGGUUAGUAGCAGAGACUCGCCCUCCUUGAAGGAGACUUUGGCAGCUGUGGGUCAGAGUGCACGUAAGAGUUUUUCCAGGAAAAUUCGAAGGCUUUCUCCAAGAUGACCUCUGUGUUUUUCCUUUGGGACCUGGGACUAAAGGAAUUUUACAUUUGGGUUUUCUGUGGACAGACAGACAAUGAAAAACCUUUGAGUCUGUAGAGCGCGGGAGGCUUAGAUGCUGUCACUAAGAAUGUGCUUUUCUCUAGAUGCUGGAUGAGGAGGACACUGACAAAGACGGGAUGAGUUUGGAGGUCGACACUCCAGUGACGAACCAUCGGGGUGACGACGACGAUGACGAAGAAGAUCUCCCCGAGAUAGUGCUGGAUGACGUGCCUGCGGUGAGGGUGGCGGGACGGCCUCCAUUCGCUCCGCGGGUGGCCUUCAUGGUGAACAAAACACAUGACCCCGAGUACCCGAGGCGGAAGGUGUCCGGCAUCAGUGCUCAGAAAGUUGUUCCACCUUCCACCAAGAUGCUGGAUGAGGAGGACACUGACAAAGACGGGAUGAGUUUGGAGGUCGACACUCCAGUGACGAACCAUCGGGGUGACGACGACGAUGACGAAGAAGAGAGACGCGUCAGCUUCGUGGAGGACAAAGGCCACCCCCUCUGCAGAGCUUCUCUGCGUUCAUGCAUUCUCCCUUGACCACCGCUGCUCCCAAGUUGGCUCAAUGUCCCCGUUGCUCAGGUGGAGAGGGUGCCGAGCCAGGUGGCCCAAGCCCUUGACCUCCUACGUGGAAAAGCCAAAGGGGGACCCAGGCCGGGUUCCCCAUGGGGUUGCUCUGGACCCCUGACCUGUGCCUCUCCCUCAGCAGGGAGUCCUCAGUCAUGGAGCCCUGAGGGGCGAGGGCCCCUGUCCCCCGUCCAUGGUUGGGUGUAGCAGGGACUCCAGAGGUCCUGUAACACCUGCCCAUCUCUAGAAGGUGGGCGGUCGGCGCUGGUGUCUUUGCUUCAACUUGGCCAAAAGAGAUCGGGCUCGGGGGUGUGUUUUCUCGUGUUGGAUGGUGUCACGUCAAGGCUUCCAACUGACCACCCUAGGUGGCACACACCCGGGGGCUGUUGCACAUAAGAGCUCAGCGUGAAACCCCAUCGUCAGCCUGGUGUC